UUCGCAAUGCCCGAAAGGGUGACGAAGCGACGCCGCGUGGGUGAGGAAGGCCUUCGGGUUGUAAAGCCCUGUCAGGAGUUAAGAAAUGUAGACUCGCUAAUAUCGUAUCUAUUUGACAAAGGCUCCAAAGGAAGCCACGGCUAACUCUGUGCCAGCAGCCGCGGUAAUACAGAGGUGGCAAGCGUUGUUCGGAAUUAUUGGGCGUAAAGAGCACGUAGGUGGAUUUGUAAGUCAGAUGUGAAAGCCUUCUGUUCAACGGAAGAAUUGCAUCUGAAACUACAAACCUUGAGUAUAGGAGGGGAGAAUGGAACUUCUGGUGGAGCGGUGAAAUGCGUAGAUAUCAGAAGGAACGCCGGCGGCGAAAGCGAUUCUCUGGCCUAUUACUGACACUCAGUGUGCGAAAGCUAGGGGAGCAAACGGGAUUAGAUACCCCGGUAGUCCUAGCUGUAAACGAUGGGCACUAAGUAGAGGGGUUUU
Molecule: ribosomal RNA, 477 nt
Filed under: Candidatus Scalindua brodae
Lineage: Bacteria; Pseudomonadati; Planctomycetota; Candidatus Brocadiia; Candidatus Brocadiales; Candidatus Scalinduaceae
Also listed under: 1 other name
Description: bacterial SSU rRNA
Rfam family: Bacterial small subunit ribosomal RNA
Source: RNAcentral